AUCCGCCCGACGAGUCCUAAGUAGGGCGAAACUCGCGUCCUGGAU
Molecule: non-coding RNA, 45 nt
Organism: Schistosoma rodhaini
Lineage: Eukaryota; Metazoa; Platyhelminthes; Trematoda; Strigeidida; Schistosomatidae
Source: Rfam